RNAcentral lists this ribosomal RNA (547 nucleotides) under uncultured Glomeromycotina. Its description in RNAcentral is "SSU rRNA". It matches the Rfam family "Eukaryotic small subunit ribosomal RNA", at positions 548 to 1098 of the family's 1831-position model. Lineage: Eukaryota; Fungi; Glomeromycota. The record is from RNAcentral.
UUGGAGGGCAAGUCUGGUGCCAGCAGCCGCGGUAAUUCCAGCUCCAAUAGCGUAUAUUAAAGUUGUUGCAGUUAAAAAGCUCGUAGUUGAAUUUCGGAAUCAAUAUGUUGGUCGUGCCUUGGUACGUACUAAUUUAUUGGUUUCUUCCUUCUGACGAACCAUUAUGUCAUUAAUUUGGUGUCUUGGGGAAUCAGGACUGUUACUUUGAAAAAAUUAGAGUGUUUAAAGCAGGCUCACGCUUGAAUACAUUAGCAUGGAAUAAUGAAAUAGGACGUUUGAUUCUAUUUUGUUGGUUUCUAGGAUCGACGUAAUGAUUAAUAGGGAUAGUUGGGGGCAUUAGUAUUCAAUUGUCAGAGGUGAAAUUCUUGGAUUUAUUGAAGACUAACUACUGCGAAAGCAUUUGCCAAGGAUGUUUUCAUUAAUCAAGAACGAAAGUUAGGGGAUCGAAGACGAUCAGAUACCGUCGUAGUCUUAACCAUAAACUAUGCCGACUAGGGAUCGGAUGAUGUUAAUUUUUUAAUGACUCAUUCGGCGCCUUACGGGAAAC